This 253-nucleotide ribosomal RNA is filed under the name uncultured bacterium. RNAcentral's name for it is "partial 16S ribosomal RNA". It matches the Rfam family "Bacterial small subunit ribosomal RNA", at positions 524 to 776 of the family's 1533-position model. The record is from RNAcentral.
UACGAAGGACCCGAGCGUUAUCCGGAUUUAUUGGGUUUAAAGGGUGCGUAGGCGGAUUAGUAAGUCAGUGGUGAAAGCCCAUCGCUUAACGGUGGAAUUGCCAUUGAUACUGCUAGUCUUGAGUAUGGUUGAGGUGGGCGGAAUGUGUCAUGUAGCGGUGAAAUGCUUAGAUAUGACCCAGAACACCAAUUGCGAAGGCAGCUCGCUAAACCAUAACUGACGCUGAUGCACGAAAGCGUGGGGAGCGAACAGG